GCAUUCUAGGCCAAGGGGUCACAGUCCACCCUGAACUGUGCCUCCCAGCCUGAAGCCAGAAAGCUCAGGGAGGCUAGCGGCCCUGCCCAGGCCUCAGCACUGACCCUGCACCCCUAGGCCCAGCUGGAUGACCCCUAAGAGCUUCCUGGAAUUUGGAUGCAGGGUUAUUCUGUGUGUGCUGCCUCUCAGAGCAUGUCACUUUGACGUGGACAUCUCGGGUCUGGUUCUGGUGCUGUCCCUGUCUCGCCACGUGACCCUGGAUAAGUCAUCUCUCCAGGCCUUGAUUUCCCCAUCUGUAAACAGAGGUGAGUGAAAUGAUCUUUAAAGGCGUGUCAGUCCAUUUUGCAUUGCUAUAAAGGAAUACGUAUGGUUGUGAGGCUGGCAUGGUAGUCCCAUCUGCAGUCCCCUGGGAUGAGGCACCUGUAUGGUAGAGGGCCCGGGUGGAGAGAAGAGAAGGAUGGGGAUGAACCCAGGACCACAGAUGGCCCAGUUCCAUGGAUGAUUUUCAUUGAGGUGCCUUCAAGUCAGUUCAACACUGGGCUUCUCAACCUUUGAGGUAUGCAGGUAAGAGUCACCUGCGGCAGUGGGGGAUGCUCUUGUUAAAGUGCAGACUCCGAUUAAGCAGGUCUAGGGUGGGGCCUGAAAUUCUGUGUUCCUAACAAGGCUCCAUCCUGGGUAUGGAGGUCAGGUACCCCCUCACCUCUCCUGUGGACCCAGCUUUUGAGGGGUCAGGAGAAGAAUGUUCAGUCCCAGCUGCCACCACUCUAAAGUCCCCUAGAAACAAGGACUAAUACAGGUGGCGUGGGAGAGGGCCCAGGCAAACAGGGAGGUGGGGUACCCCGGUGGGGCUGCAGUGGGCCCUGCGGAAAGCUUGCUGGAGGUGGGGGCCUAAGGAAUUCAAGGACUUGUUCCAGGAACCCAAGGAACGAGUGGGCUCUAACUGCUGCAGCAUAUGGGAGAUGCCAGGAGGAGCUGGCUGUGGCAGGCCAUCCCAGUCCAUCAGACAACUUGUAGUGGAUGAAGAUGCAGUGUCCAUGGCCAGAAGAAACUCCCGUGGAUGCUCAGGCCAAGGCUGCCAGAAGCACGAGGAGGGGCAGCAUUGAGUGUCAUCGGGAAAAGGCAAAGUGAUGGUCCUGAAGCUGCCCCAUGUGGCCAGUCCCUUUUUGGGAAGCCUGAAUAAAUCCAUUUCCUGUGCACUGUGUGGGAAGCCAACCCCUCUUCAGAGCACCUCUGAACUCAACAGGAUCCUACACUUCUUAUAGGCCUGGCUUGAUGCUGACAUCCUUCAGCCCCAGGGAAGACCUAAAGAUCUCCAGGUCUUGAGGCACCUGGAACACCUCCACCUGAGACCACUUUAACAUGAUUUCUCUGCUUGAGGGAUUUUGGACCAUGCUGUGUGUAUUCAGCCCUAAAACAUGGGCGAGUGCCCGCUUGCAGUUCAAAUUCUCAGAGGAAGUUCCCUGUACUCCACCCAGUGCCAAGUUUAGUUUGUGCAAAUUUCCUUAAUGUCCCCUCCUGUACAACAGGCUUAUUUGGUGUUAACCCUCAUAUCGGGGGUCUAACUCUUUGCUUUUCCAGCUUUUGUGCUGGAAUAUCCCAUUAAACUGUCCAUGUUGGGUAUUUUUUCUUUGUUAGUAAACAUUUGUUGCAUAUUGUUGAUAGCAUUUUAGAUUUGAAGAAAUAACUGACAAAAUCA
RNAcentral lists this long non-coding RNA (1696 nucleotides) under Homo sapiens (human). Its description in RNAcentral is "HSALNT0230815". Lineage: Eukaryota; Metazoa; Chordata; Mammalia; Primates; Hominidae. The record is from RNAcentral.